GACGAACGCUGGCGGCGUGCCUAAUACAUGCAAGUAGAACGCUGAAGGAGGAGCUUGCUUCUCUGGAUGAGUUGCGAACGGGUGAGUAACGCGUAGGUAACCUGCCUGGUAGCGGGGGAUAACUAUUGGAAACGAUAGCUAAUACCGCAUAAGAGUAGAUGUCGCAUGACAUUUGCUUAAAAGGUGCAAUUGCAUCACUACCAGAUGGACCUGCGUUGUAUUAGCUAGUUGGUGAGGUAACGGCUCACCAAGGCAACGAUACAUAGCCGACCUGAGAGGGUGAUCGGCCACACUGGGACUGAGACACGGCCCAGACUCCUACGGGAGGCAGCAGUAGGGAAUCUUCGGCAAUGGACGGAAGUCUGACCGAGCAACGCCGCGUGAGUGAAGAAGGUUUUCGGAUCGUAAAGCUCUGUUGUAAGAGAAGAACGAGUGUGAGAGUGGAAAGUUCACACUGUGACGGUAGCUUACCAGAAAGAGACGGCUAACUACGUG
RNAcentral lists this ribosomal RNA (495 nucleotides) under uncultured bacterium. Its description in RNAcentral is "partial 16S ribosomal RNA". It matches the Rfam family "Bacterial small subunit ribosomal RNA", at positions 28 to 507 of the family's 1533-position model. The record is from RNAcentral.